RNAcentral lists this ribosomal RNA (497 nucleotides) under uncultured bacterium. RNAcentral describes it as "partial 16S ribosomal RNA". It matches the Rfam family "Bacterial small subunit ribosomal RNA", at positions 28 to 507 of the family's 1533-position model. The record is from RNAcentral.
GAUGAACGCUGGCGGCGUGCCUAAUACAUGCAAGUCGAGCGAACGGACGAGAAGCUUGCUUCUCUGAUGUUAGCGGCGGACGGGUGAGUAACACGUGGAUAACCUCCCUAUAAGACUGGGAUAACUUCGGGAAACCGGAGCUAAUACCGUAUGAUAUUUUGAACCGCAUGGUUCAUAAGUGAAAGACGGUCUUGCUGUCACUUAUAGAUGGAUCCGCGCUGCAUUAGCUAGUUGGUAAGGUAACGGCUUACCAAGGCAACGAUGCAUAGCCGACCUGAGAGGGUGAUCGGCCACACGGGAACUGAGACACGGUCCAGACUCCUACGGGAGGCAGCAGUAGGGAAUCUUCCGCAAUGGGCGAAAGCCUGACGGAGCAACGCCGCGUGAGUGAUGAAGGUCUUCGGAUCGUAAAACUCUGUUAUUAGGGAAGAACAUAUGUGUAAGUAACUGUGCACAUCUUGACGGUAACUAAUCAGAAAGCCACGGCUAACUACGUG